Molecule: transfer RNA, 77 nt
Filed under: Eubacteriaceae bacterium
Lineage: Bacteria; Bacillati; Bacillota; Clostridia; Eubacteriales; Eubacteriaceae
Also listed under: 1 other name
Description: tRNA-Arg
Rfam family: tRNA
About the family: Transfer RNA (tRNA) molecules are approximately 80 nucleotides in length. Their secondary structure includes four short double-helical elements and three loops (D, anti-codon, and T loops).
Source: RNAcentral
GCGCCGUUAGCUCAGCUGGAUAGAGCGUUCGGCUACGGACCGAAAGGUCAGGGGUUCGAAUCCCUUACGGCGCACCA